GACGAACGCUGGCGGCGUGCUUAACACAUGCAAGUCGAACGGAAAGGCCCUGCUUUUGUGGGGUGCUCGAGUGGCGAACGGGUGAGUAACACGUGAGUAACCUGCCCUUUACUUUGGGAUAACUUCAGGAAACUGGGGCUAAUACCGGAUAGGAGCUCCUGCUGCAUGGUGGGGGUUGGAAAGUUUCGGCGUUUGGGGAUGGACUCGCUGCUUAUCAUCUUGUUUGUUGGGUAGUGGCUUACCAAGGCUUUGACGGGUAGCCGGCCUGAGAGGGUGACCGGCAAAAUUGGGACUGAGAUACGGCCCAGACUGCAACGGGAGGCAGCAGUGGGGAAUAUUGCAAAAUGGGAGGAAGCCUGAUGCAGCAACGCCGCGUGCGGGAUGACGGCCUUCGGGUUGUAAACCGCUUUCGCCUGUGACGAAGCGUGAGUGACGGUAAUGGGUAAAGAAGCACCGGCUAACUACGUG
Molecule: ribosomal RNA, 468 nt
Filed under: uncultured bacterium
Lineage: Bacteria
Description: partial 16S ribosomal RNA
Rfam family: Bacterial small subunit ribosomal RNA
Source: RNAcentral